This 738-nucleotide ribosomal RNA is filed under the name Lactobacillus sp. RNAcentral's name for it is "bacterial SSU rRNA". It matches the Rfam family "Bacterial small subunit ribosomal RNA", at positions 49 to 753 of the family's 1533-position model. Lineage: Bacteria; Bacillati; Bacillota; Bacilli; Lactobacillales; Lactobacillaceae. The record is from RNAcentral.
UAAUACAUGCAAGUCGAACGAACCAUCCUGAAGAUUGAAGCUUGCUUCAUGAUUCAGACCUUGGUGAGUGGCGGACGGGUGAGUAACACGUGGGUAACCUGCCCAAAAGUGGGGGAUAACAUUUGGAAACAAGUGCUAAUACCGCAUAACAACUACUUUCACAUGAUCGUAGCUUGAAAGAUGGCUCUGCUAUCGCUUUUGGAUGGACCCGCGGCGUAUUAGCUAGUUGGUGAGGUAAUAGCUCACCAAGGCAAUGAUACGUAGCCGACCUGAGAGGGUAAUCGGCCACAUUGGGACUGAGACACGGCCCAAACUCCUACGGGAGGCAGCAGUAGGGAAUCUUCCACAAUGGGCGAAAGCCUGAUGGAGCAAUGCCGCGUGAGUGAAGAAGGUUUUCGGAUCGUAAAACUCUGUUGUUGAAGAAGAACAUGCGUGAGAGUAACUGUUCACGUACUGACGGUAUUCAACCAGAAAGCCACGGCUAACUACGUGCCAGCAGCCGCGGUAAUACGUAGGUGGCAAGCGUUGUCCGGAUUUAUUGGGCGUAAAGAGAAUGUAGGCGGUUUAUUAAGUUUGAAGUGAAAGCCCUCGGCUCAACCGAGGAAGUGCUUCGAAAACUGGUAAACUUGAGUGCAGAAGAGGAAAGUGGAACUCCAUGUGUAGCGGUGGAAUGCGUAGAUAUAUGGAAGAACACCAGUGGCGAAGGCGGCUUUCUGGUCUGUAACUGACGCUGAGAUU